This 490-nucleotide ribosomal RNA is filed under the name uncultured bacterium. RNAcentral describes it as "partial 16S ribosomal RNA". It matches the Rfam family "Bacterial small subunit ribosomal RNA", at positions 30 to 507 of the family's 1533-position model. The record is from RNAcentral.
AUUGAACGCUGGCGGCAGGCCUAACACAUGCAAGUCGAACGGUAACAGGAAGCAGCUUGCUGCUUCGCUGACGAGUGACGGACGGGUGAGUAAUGUCUGGGAAGCUGCCUGAUGGAGGGGGAUAACUACUGGAAACGGUAGCUAAUACCGCAUAAUGUCGCAAGACCAAAGAGGGGGACCUUCGGGCCUCUUGCCAUCGGAUGUGCCCAGAUGGGAUUAGCUUGUUGGUGGGGUAACGGCUCACCAAGGCGACGAUCCCUAGCUGGUCUGAGAGGAUGACCAGCCACACUGGGACUGAGACACGGUCCAGACUCCUACGGGAGGCAGCAGUGGGGAAUAUUGCACAAUGGGCGCAAGCCUGAUGCAGCCAUGCCGCGUGUAUGAAGAAGGCCUUCGGGUUGUAAAGUACUUUCAGCGGGGAGGAGGGGAGUAAAGUUAAUACCUUGGCUCAUUGACGUUACCCGCAGAAGAAGCACCGGCUAACUCCGUG